This 373-nucleotide ribosomal RNA is filed under the name uncultured bacterium. RNAcentral describes it as "bacterial SSU rRNA". It matches the Rfam family "Bacterial small subunit ribosomal RNA", at positions 523 to 898 of the family's 1533-position model. The record is from RNAcentral.
ACACGUAAGUGGCAAGCGUUGUUCGGAUUCAUUGGGCGUAAAGGGCGUGUAGGCGGCGUAUCAAGCUUGGUGUGAAGUAUCCCGGCUCAACCGGGAAGGCGCGCUGAGAACUGAUAUGCUAGAGUUCAAGAGGGGGAGUUAGAAUUCCAGGUGUAGGGGUGAAAUCUGUAGAUAUCUGGAAGAAUACCGGUGGCGAAGGCGAGCUCCUGGCAAUGAACUGACGCUGAGGCGCGAAAGCGUGGGUAGCAAACAGGAUUAGAUACCCUGGUAGUCCACGCUGUAAACGACGUGCACUAAGUGUUUGGGGGUUACCCUGAGUGCUGAAGCUAACGUAGUAAGUGCACCGCCUGGGGAGUAUGCUCGCAAGGGUGAA